RNAcentral lists this ribosomal RNA (484 nucleotides) under uncultured bacterium. Its description in RNAcentral is "partial 16S ribosomal RNA". It matches the Rfam family "Bacterial small subunit ribosomal RNA", at positions 30 to 507 of the family's 1533-position model. The record is from RNAcentral.
AUUGAACGCUGGCGGCAGGCCUAACACAUGCGAGUCGAGCGGAUGAAGGGAGCUUGCUCCUGGAUUCAGCGGCGGACGGGUGAGUAAUGCCUAGGAAUCUGCCUGGUAGUGGGGGAUAACGUCCGGAAACGGGCGCUAAUACCGCAUACGUCCUGAGGGAGAAAGUGGGGGAUCUUCGGACCUCACGCUAUCAGAUGAGCCUAGGUCGGAUUAGCUAGUUGGUGGGGUAAAGGCCUACCAAGGCGACGAUCCGUAACUGGUCUGAGAGGAUGAUCAGUCACACUGGAACUGAGACACGGUCCAGACUCCUACGGGAGGCAGCAGUGGGGAAUAUUGGACAAUGGGCGAAAGCCUGAUCCAGCCAUGCCGCGUGUGUGAAGAAGGUCUUCGGAUUGUAAAGCACUUUAAGUUGGGAGGAGGGGCAGUAAGUUAAUACCUUGCUGUUUUGACGUUACCAACAGAAUAAGCACCGGCUAACUUCGUG